AGCAGCCGCGGUAAUUCCAGCCCCAAUAGCGUAUAUUAAAGUUGUUGCAGUUAAAAAGCUCGUAGUUGAGCUUCGGGAUUUGCCCAUUGGUCAGGCUUAACUGUCUGCACUGGUGUGACGAGUUCCUACCUUCUGAGGAAUCUCCAUGUCAUUCAGUUGGUGUGGGGGGAAAUCAGGACUGUUACUUUGAAAAAUUAGAGUGUUUAAAGCAGGCGUCCGUCUGAAUACAUUAGCAUGGAAUAAUAAAAUAGGACGGUUUGGUUCUAUUUUGUUGGUUUCUAGGAUCACCGUAAUGAUUAAUAGGGAUAGUUGGGGGCAUUAGUAUUCAAUUGUCAGAGGUGAAAUUCUUGGAUUUAUUGAAGACUAACUACUGCGAAAGCAUUUGCCAAGGAUGUUUUCAUUAAUCAAGAACGAAAGUUAGGGGAUCGAAGACGAUCAGAUACCGUCGUAGUCUUAACCAUAAACUAUGCCGACUAGGGAUCGGACGAAGUUAAUUUUUAAUGACUCGUUCGGCACCUUA
This 520-nucleotide ribosomal RNA is filed under the name uncultured Diversispora. Its description in RNAcentral is "SSU rRNA". It matches the Rfam family "Eukaryotic small subunit ribosomal RNA", at positions 569 to 1090 of the family's 1831-position model. The record is from RNAcentral. Lineage: Eukaryota; Fungi; Glomeromycota; Glomeromycetes; Diversisporales; Diversisporaceae.